This 1029-nucleotide ribosomal RNA is filed under the name Raffaelea subalba. RNAcentral describes it as "SSU rRNA". It matches the Rfam family "Eukaryotic small subunit ribosomal RNA", at positions 61 to 1102 of the family's 1831-position model. Lineage: Eukaryota; Fungi; Ascomycota; Sordariomycetes; Ophiostomatales; Ophiostomataceae. The record is from RNAcentral.
UAGUAUAGCAUUGUACUGCGAAACUGCGAAUGGCUCAUUAAAUCAGUUAUCGUCUAUUUGAUAGUACCUUACUACUUGGAUAACCGUGGUAAUUCUAGAGCUAAUACAUGCUGCAAAGCCCGACUUCGGAAGGGUUGUAUUUAUUAGAUUAAAAACCAAUGCCCUCCGGGGCUCACUGGUGAUUCAUGAUAACUUCUCGAAUCGCACGGCCUUGCGCCGGCGAUGGUUCAUUCAAAUUUCUGCCCUAUCAACUUUCGACGGCUGGGUCUUGGCCAGCCGUGGUGACAACGGGUAACGGAGGGUUAGGGCUCGACCCCGGAGAAGGAGCCUGAGAAACGGCUACUACAUCCAAGGAAGGCAGCAGGCGCGCAAAUUACCCAAUCCCGACACGGGGAGGUAGUGACAAUAAAUACUGAUACAGGGCUCUUUUGGGUCUUGUAAUUGGAAUGAGUACAAUUUAAUUCCCUUAACGAGGAACAAUUGGAGGGCAAGUCUGGUGCCAGCAGCCGCGGUAAUUCCAGCUCCAAUAGCGUAUAUUAAAGUUGUUGCAGUUAAAAAGCUCGUAGUUGAACCUUGGGCCUGGCUGGCCGGUCCGCCUCACCGCGUGCACUGGUCCGGCCGGGCCUUUCCCUCUGGGGAGCCGCAUGCCCUUCACUGGGCGUGCCGGGGAACCAGGACGUUUACUUUGAAAAAAUUAGAGUGUUCAAAGCAGGCUUAUGCUCGGAUACAUUAGCAUGGAAUAAUAGAAUAGGACGCGUGGUUCUAUUUUGUUGGUUUCUAGGACCGCCGUAAUGAUUAAUAGGGACAGUCGGGGGCAUCAGUAUUCAGCUGUCAGAGGUGAAAUUCUUGGAUUUGCUGAAGACUAACUACUGCGAAAGCAUUUGCCAAGGAUGUUUUCAUUAAUCAGGAACGAAAGUUAGGGGAUCGAAGACGAUCAGAUACCGUCGUAGUCUUAACCAUAAACUAUGCCGACUAGGGAUCGGACGGUGUUAUUCUUUGACCCGUUCGGCACCUUACACGAAAGUACAA